This 300-nucleotide ribosomal RNA is filed under the name uncultured Thiotrichales bacterium. Its description in RNAcentral is "bacterial SSU rRNA". It matches the Rfam family "Bacterial small subunit ribosomal RNA", at positions 115 to 415 of the family's 1533-position model. The record is from RNAcentral. Lineage: Bacteria; Pseudomonadati; Pseudomonadota; Gammaproteobacteria; Thiotrichales.
ACGUGGGAAUCUACCUUAGAGUUGGGGAUAAGCCUUGGAAACAGGGUCUAAUACCGAAUACGGUCUAUGGACUAAAGUGUGCCUCUGCUUGCACGCACACGCUUUAAAGAUGAGCCCGCGUUAGAUUAGCUAGUUGGUGGGGUAAAGGCCCACCAAGGCGACGAUCUAUAGCUGGUUUGAGAGGAUGAUCAGCCACACUGGGACUGAGACACGGCCCAGACUCCUACGGGAGGCAGCAGUGGGGAAUUUUGGACAAUGGGCGCAAGCCUGAUCCAGCAAUGCCGCGUGAGUGAAGAAGGC